This 492-nucleotide ribosomal RNA is filed under the name uncultured bacterium. RNAcentral describes it as "partial 16S ribosomal RNA". It matches the Rfam family "Bacterial small subunit ribosomal RNA", at positions 29 to 507 of the family's 1533-position model. The record is from RNAcentral.
AGUGAACGCUGGCGGUAGGCCUAACACAUGCAAGUCGAACGGCAGCACAGUAAGAGCUUGCUCUUACGGGUGGCGAGUGGCGGACGGGUGAGGAAUACAUCGGAAUCUUCUUUUUCGUGGGGGAUAACGUAGGGACACUUACGCUAAUACCGCAUACGACCUACGGGUGAAAGCAGGGGAUCUUCGGACCUUGCGCGAUUGAAUGAGCCGAUGUCGGAUUAGCUAGUUGGCGGGGUAAAGGCCCACCAAGGCGACGAUCCGUAGCUGGUCUGAGAGGAUGAUCAGCCACACUGGAACUGAGACACGGUCCAGACUCCUACGGGAGGCAGCAGUGGGGAAUAUUGGACAAUGGGCGCAAGCCUGAUCCAGCCAUACCGCGUGGGUGAAGAAGGCCUUCGGGUUGUAAAGCCCUUUUGUUGGGAAAGAAAAGCAGCAGGUUAAUACCCCGCUGUUCUGACGGUACCCAAAGAAUAAGCACCGGCUAACUUCGUG